Molecule: ribosomal RNA, 255 nt
Filed under: uncultured bacterium
Lineage: Bacteria
Description: partial small subunit ribosomal RNA
Rfam family: Bacterial small subunit ribosomal RNA
Source: RNAcentral
GGGACGAACGCUGGCGGCGUGCUUAACACAUGCAAGUCGAGCGGAAAGGCCCUUCGGGGUACUCGAGCGGCGAACGGGUGAGUAACACGUGAGUAAUCUGCCCCUAGCUCUGGGAUAGCUCCGGGAAACCGGGAUUAAUACCGGACAUGACUCCUUUCGACAUCUGAAGGAGUGGAAAGAUUUAUCGGCUAGGGAUGAGCUCGCGGCCUAUCAGCUUGUUGGUGGAGUAACGGCCCACCAAGGCGACGACGGGUA